AAUGAAGCGCCUGCCGAAAGGAAUAUUUUGAUAGAAUAUAUAAUGUAAUAAAUUACCUUCAUUA
Molecule: transfer RNA, 64 nt
Filed under: Attagenus augustatus augustatus
Lineage: Eukaryota; Metazoa; Arthropoda; Insecta; Coleoptera; Dermestidae
Description: tRNA-Ile
Source: RNAcentral